UAUGCAAUGAGUUUAAGCUCAAAACAUCCUGCAAAUAUACAUACACAUAAUGAAAGAAAGAAAGAAAAAACAGAAAAAAAGAUUACAUAUUUAUAUGUUUCUUUUUUUUUUUUUUUUUUUUUUUUCUUUUUCCUAAUUUGUGUAAUUUUUAUAAAAACAGGAAGGAAGGUCUGAGAUGCUGCAUUUAAAGAAUAGAAAAAAAAGUUAUAACAUUCAUUGUUACUUUUUAUUUCAUAUAUAUAUAUAUAUAUAUAUAUAUUCUUUAAUAAAAUUUUUGAGAGAAAAAGUAUUGAACAAAUAUUAAUUAGUUACCAGAAAUAUCAAUCAUAUAUUUAAAAUUUCGUAAGAAAUUUUGUGUAUGAUUUUGAAAAAGCUAAUAAGCAAGUAUACAUUGGUGAGUUCGAUUUUUGAGGUUUUUCUUUAUUCCUACAUCUCAUAUAUCAAUAUAUUUUUUAUAAUGUAUACGAGAUGUUAAUAAGAAAAAUAACUUAAUUCAGACUACUCCUAAAUUCAUUGCUACAA
RNAcentral lists this RNase P RNA (522 nucleotides) under Plasmodium billcollinsi. RNAcentral describes it as "Plasmodium sp. DRC-Itaito ribonuclease P". It matches the Rfam family "Plasmodium RNase_P". Lineage: Eukaryota; Apicomplexa; Aconoidasida; Haemosporida; Plasmodiidae. The record is from RNAcentral.